Non-coding RNA from Pelobates cultripes (western spadefoot toad), 206 nucleotides. The record is from the annotation of a GenBank genome assembly. Lineage: Eukaryota; Metazoa; Chordata; Amphibia; Anura; Pelobatidae.
UGGCUUUACAGUGUGUUAGGCUUUAUAGUGUGUGAGUGAGUGUGUUUUUACAGUGUUAGUGUAGCUUUAUAGUGUGUGUGUAACUUUACAGUGUGUGGUGUAACUUUACAGUGUGUGUGUGAGUGAGUGUAACUUUACAGUGUGUGAGUGAGUGUGUCUUUAUAGUGUGUGAGUGAGUGUAGCUUUAUAGUGUGUGUGUGAGUGAG